AGCGAACGCUGGCGGCAGGCUUAACACAUGCAAGUCGAGCGGGCACUUCGGUGUCAGCGGCAGACGGGUGAGUAACACGUGGGAACGUACCCUUUGGUUCGGAAUAACGCUGGGAAACUAGCGCUAAUACCGGAUACGCCCUUUUGGGGAAAGGCUUGCUGCCGAAGGAUCGGCCCGCGUCUGAUUAGCUAGUUGGUGGGGUAAUGGCCUACCAAGGCGACGAUCAGUAGCUGGUCUGAGAGGAUGAUCAGCCACACUGGGACUGAGACACGGCCCAGACUCCUACGGGAGGCAGCAGUGGGGAAUAUUGGACAAUGGGCGCAAGCCUGAUCCAGCCAUGCAGCGUGAGUGAUGAAGGCCUUAGGGUUGUAAAGCUCUUUUGUCCGGGACGAUAAUGACGGUACCGGAAGAAUAAGCCACGGCUAACUUCGUG
RNAcentral lists this ribosomal RNA (433 nucleotides) under uncultured bacterium. Its description in RNAcentral is "partial 16S ribosomal RNA". It matches the Rfam family "Bacterial small subunit ribosomal RNA", at positions 29 to 507 of the family's 1533-position model. The record is from RNAcentral.